This 210-nucleotide ribosomal RNA is filed under the name uncultured bacterium. Its description in RNAcentral is "partial 16S ribosomal RNA". It matches the Rfam family "Bacterial small subunit ribosomal RNA", at positions 32 to 238 of the family's 1533-position model. The record is from RNAcentral.
AAUCAACGCUGGCGGCGUGCCUCAGACAUGCAAGUCGAACGCGAAAGUCCCCGUUCGGGGGACAAGUAGAGUGGCGCACGGGUGAGUAACACGUAGGUAAUCUACCUUCGGAUGGGGAAUAACAACCGGAAACGGUUGCUAAUACCGCAUAAUGCAGCGGCACCUAAUGGUGACAGUUGUUAAAGCGGGGGAUCGAAAGACCUCGCGUCU